This 441-nucleotide ribosomal RNA is filed under the name uncultured bacterium. RNAcentral describes it as "partial 16S ribosomal RNA". It matches the Rfam family "Bacterial small subunit ribosomal RNA", at positions 338 to 795 of the family's 1533-position model. The record is from RNAcentral.
CCUACGGGAGGCAGCAGUGGGGAAUAUUGCACAAUGGGGGAAACCCUGAUGCAGCGACGCCGCGUGAGCGAGGAAGUAUUUCGGUAUGUAAAGCUCUAUCAGCAGGGACGAAAAAAGACGGUACCUGACUAAGAAGCCUUGGCUAACUACGUGCCAGCAGCCGCGGUAAAACGGGGGGUGCAAGCGUUAGUCGUAUUGACUGGGGGUAAAGGGAGCGGAGACGGCAAGGCAAGACAGAGGUGAAAGGGCAGGGCUCAACCCUGUAAAUGCUUUUGAAACUGGGGUGCUAGAGUGCAGGAGAGGUGAGUGGAAUUCCUGGUGUAGCGGUGAAAUGCGUAGAUAUUAGGAGGAACAUCAGUGGCGAAGGCGACUAUCUGGCACAUAACUGACGCUGAGGAGCGAAAGCGUGGGUAGCAAACAGGAUUAGAUACCCUAGUAGUC